Molecule: transfer RNA, 82 nt
Filed under: Pseudomonadota bacterium
Lineage: Bacteria; Pseudomonadati; Pseudomonadota
Description: Proteobacteria bacterium (sponge metagenome) tRNA-Leu
Rfam family: tRNA
About the family: Transfer RNA (tRNA) molecules are approximately 80 nucleotides in length. Their secondary structure includes four short double-helical elements and three loops (D, anti-codon, and T loops).
Source: RNAcentral
GCCGGGGUGGCGGAAUGGGCAGACGCGCCAGACUUAGGAUCUGGUGCCGCAAGGCGUGCAGGUUCGAAUCCUGUCCCCGGCA